Molecule: ribosomal RNA, 332 nt
Filed under: uncultured bacterium
Lineage: Bacteria
Description: bacterial SSU rRNA
Rfam family: Bacterial small subunit ribosomal RNA
Source: RNAcentral
UGCGUAGGCGGUUGGGUAAGUCUGACGUGAAAUCUUCGGGCCUAACCCGGAAACUGCGUUGGAUACUAUUCAGCUAGAGGAAUGGAGGGGAGACUGGAAUACUUGGUGUAGCAGUGAAAUGCGUAGAUAUCAAGUGGAACACCAGUGGCGAAGGCGAGUCUCUGGACAUUUCCUGACGCUGAGGCACGAAAGCCAGGGGAGCAAACGGGAUUAGAUACCCCGGUAGUCCUGGCCCUAAACGGUGCACGUUUGCUGUAAGCGGAAUCGACCCCGCUUGUGGCGUAGUUAACACGAUAAACGUGCCGCCUGGGAAGUACGGCCGCAAGGUUAAA